AUUAUGUUCGUUUAUGACAUAAUAAGUAUAAAAUUUGUACACAUUAUAUUAAGCACAGCUUGUGCUCCAGUGGUUGGGGGACAAAGGUUUCGUGCGGCAGGUUGAGGUUUCGAACCUUGCCUUCCCCGUUAUUUUAUUUAUGUCACUUAUGACAUAAUAAAUAUAACACGUGAGCAUAUAUUAAUGAAGGCAGCUCUUGCUUCAGUGGUUGGGAGCAAAACCUUCGUGUUUGAGGUCGGGAGUUCGAACCCUACCUCUUACAAAUAUUUUUGGGUCUCGUAUAUGCUUGAUAUACGGACGUAUAUACGGUAUGUACGGUAUACAUACGUAUAUACGGUCUGUACAGUAUGCAUACGUAUAUACAGUUGUACGGUAUGCAUACGUAUACACGAUCUGUACGGUAUGUAUACGUAUAUACGGUAUGUACAAUUUCAUACCGUAGCCGAGCUGGAAGUGGGUGGGCCGAUUGGUAGGCCCAAAUAGUAAGCCCAAUUGUUCGGCCCGAAUAGUAGGCCCAAAUGUUAAACCCAAAGUGGUUUGGGCCGGUUCGAAAUGUGGAUGGUUCGGUUUCUUCGGCCCAAUUGGCCAGCCCUAGUGCUUAGUCCAAGGAUUGAGCAAGCCCAAGUCAUCAUCAUUGGGUGACAUAAUUUAUUGGCGUGCUUUUGGGGAUGAUUUGUUUUGAGUGAUGCAUCUCUAUGGUUGUGAAGAGUGGUGCAUGCUUAAGUUUUACUAUGGAGAUUUACCGUGAUGCUAAUUGAGUAGCGAAACACUUUGUGGGAGUGUUUACUGUGCUUGUAUGCCAGUACAGAGUGAUGAUCUAUGUGAAGAUCUAUGUGAUGAUCUAUGUGAAGAUCUAUGUGAGGAUCUAUGAGAUGAUCCAUGUGACGAUUUUGUGUAUGUGAUGUGGAGUGUUGUUGAGCAGUUGUUGUGUGAGUUUACGUUUGUGAUGAAAGGAUUUAGUGGCCAUAGGAAUGUAUUUUUAUACAAGGGCUGUGGCUUUGUAGAUUACUACAGAUUUGGAAAAGAUGGAGAUUCUAUAGUUAGGUCAACCUUAAUCGAGAGGAAUUGACUUACGCUUAAAUUUCGGGACGAAAUUUCUUUAAGGAGGGUAGACUGUAAUACCCCGGAAAAUCCAAAUUAAAUUCCAUGGUUUUUUAGAAAUGAUUUCACGAUAGUAGGAGCGAGUACGAAGCUUGGAAAAGUUGUGGAAUUAGUUCGAACGAUUUUAUUUUCGAAAACGAACGUUUUUAGGGGGUCAACAAAGUUGACUUUUUAUACGUUCAAAAUUUUGGAAAACUUCCUUCAUGAAAGUUGUAGAGCUCGUCGAUACGAGUUCGUGGACAUGUGGAACGCAUUAUUUGGAGUUCGUAUGAAUAAGUUAUGAAUAUUUUAAAAUUGAGAAUUUUCUAUAAAUACAAAAAAUCAGAUUUCUCAAUAAGGAAACCCGAAAAUUUCCAGAUUUUUCUCCUCCUCGCUGCCUUGGCUUCACGGCGUCGCCACGACUUCAUCCGGCCACCUAUGGCCAUGAAAUUGAUAUCAAUCUCUUCGCCUUGAAACCAGCUUUCCAUUCAUAUAUGUCUUGCAUCCUAUCAUUCACCAUAGACAACGAAUCGAAGCAAAGAAGGUCAGACCAUUUUUCAUGCAUUUCUUCAAAUUCCAGCCAACUCCGGCAAAGGUAGGAGGGGAGACCAACUGGGCUUUGUUCGCCUUGCCAUGCUCUAUAAACUCACCAAGUUUCACAUCUCGAUUCAACCCGAGGAAGACGAAUUUCAGAUUUGAGCGAUUUUGGGCGAUUUCGGCCUCUUUCUUCUUGAGGUGAUUGGCGGAUUGAUUUGGCGGACGAUUCGUAAAAUCGUUGUUGAGCUGUUUAGAAGACGCAGCGGGAUUAUCGAGCGGGUAAUCCUACAGGACAGGAGAACCAGGACGGUGAUCGUGCGGUUAGAGCAAUUGUUAGAGUUUUACAACAAUUGUAAGUUGUGAGGUGUGUUAUGCUCAUUUGAGCUUUAUAAUAUAUUGUGAGAGUGAAUUGUAAUAAUGAACUCGAAGUUUCGAGAUUUGUUUUUUUGUAAUUGUAAUUAUUCAGGUUUCGGAUUUGAAUUUAUCAUUCAAAAUCCGGGGCGUGACAUUUACUCUUUCACACUCUUAUCCUAAA
This is a long non-coding RNA of Rosa rugosa (rugosa rose), 2152 nucleotides long. RefSeq lists it as uncharacterized. Lineage: Eukaryota; Viridiplantae; Streptophyta; Magnoliopsida; Rosales; Rosaceae. The transcript has 3 exons. The record is from RefSeq and is a predicted model, not a curated record.